Molecule: ribosomal RNA, 34 nt
Filed under: Physcia aipolia
Lineage: Eukaryota; Fungi; Ascomycota; Lecanoromycetes; Caliciales; Physciaceae
Description: 26S ribosomal RNA
Source: RNAcentral
UUGACCUCGGAUCAGGUAGGGAUCCCGCGACUAA